RNAcentral lists this ribosomal RNA (415 nucleotides) under uncultured bacterium. RNAcentral describes it as "bacterial SSU rRNA". It matches the Rfam family "Bacterial small subunit ribosomal RNA", at positions 355 to 794 of the family's 1533-position model. The record is from RNAcentral.
UGGGGAAUAUUGGACAAUGGGGGGAACCCUGAUCCAGCCGUGCCGCGUGUGUGAAGAAGGCCUUAUGGUUGUAAAGCACUUUAAGCGAGGAGGCGUUACUCGCAGAAUAAGCACCGGCUAACUCUGUGCCAGCAGCCGCGGUAAUACAGAGGGUGCGAGCGUUAAUCGGAUUUACUGGGCGUAAAGCGUGCGUAGGCGGCUAAUUGAGUCGGAUGUGAAAUCCCCGGGCUUAACUUGGGAAUUGCAUUCGAUACUGGUUAGCUAGAGUGUGGGAGAGGAUGGUAGAAUUCCAGGUGUAGCGGUGAGAUGCGUAGAGAUCUGGAGGAAUACCGAUGGCGAAGGCAGCCAUCUGGCCUAACACUGACGCUGAGGUACGAAAGCAUGGGGAGCAAACAGGAUUAGAUACCCUGGUAGU